AAAAGAAGAAAAAAAGUGUUACGUUGCUAGCUUGCAAGAUGAGGAGGAAAACAAAUUGUAUUCCAACUCAACAAAUGAGGAAACAAAACCUCAGAGAGGUUAAUGACUGCAUAUAGAUCUAGACAUGUGUAACCUUCCCAGCACCCGAGAGAGACAGACAGAGUCACAUCCCCACUGACAGGUGAAGACUUCAAGACCAGAGUGGUGGAGGGACUUGCCUGAGUCCUGGAUCUGGGAGACCUCUUGAGACCCUGGGAUGGUCGCACGGCCCCUGCACCUGCGCUGCCUUCCCCGUGGUGAAAGCGCAGCACAGGCGGGGCUGCAGGAGAGUGGUGGAGGGGUUAUGCAGUAGCUAUCUUUGGAGGCGUCACUGCCCACGGUGUUUUUAGGAUGAAUAAUUGCUUUAAUUCCUCAAGGCUUUAUAAAUAGAUGGAGAGGUAAUUAUACACAGCAGGACAAAA
Long non-coding RNA from Piliocolobus tephrosceles (Ugandan red Colobus), 461 nucleotides. RefSeq lists it as uncharacterized. NCBI's taxonomy places the organism in Eukaryota, Metazoa, Chordata, Mammalia, Primates, Cercopithecidae. The record is from RefSeq and is a predicted model, not a curated record. The transcript is spliced from 3 exons.